GAGCAGCGAGGCUGCGGGACAGACGCAUUCCAGGUCUCAGCUCCCGCACCUGCUGGCCGGCGGUGGGAAAAUCGCCCCACCCCUCUGCACCUCCUGUUCAGGUAUCACAUGGGCCAGGCCUAAUCCCUGCUGGGUUGGAAGUGUGCAAGGUGCAAGGCCCCUGGCGCAGAGUGCAGUAGGCGCUCCAUAAGUGCUCUGCUUUGUCUCGCUGUCGGGAGCGCCCGCUGGGCAGAGCGGUGCCUGAAGACUCCAGGGGCCUCUGGGAGUGGCAGGACCCAGAAGCUGCCGGGGGAGCUGACCACUGGGGUGGGGAGGGCCAGUGCAGGGAACCCUGGGGGAGAAGGGGUGACCAACCUGGCACCUGGGGCCCCGGGUGGGCGGGGGACAUAGGAGCGAGAGGCCCGGCCCCUGGCUUGGGUCCCUGGGUAGAUGGCGGGCUUUCCAUGGGAGGGGAAACUGAGGCAGAGCGCUGCUUUGGAAGGAAGCUGCUGAGCUCUCUCGGGGUGCGUGGAUAAGGAGGGUGCCUGGGAGCCUUCCCGGCGGAGGCAUCUGUGAGGCCGUCGGAGACCGAGACAGCCGAGGGGGCCCGGGCCUCUCAGGGAGCAAGUGAAAUAUUCUCUCAACAGCUUGGCAGGGCAGCUGCCUGUUCACGGCCCCAGCACAAGGCCUGGCUGUUUGUUGAAUAAACCAGGCAGGACCCCCGCAGACAAGCCGGGCGGCGGGCGGUGGUGGCUGCUCGAGCAGGGAGGCCCGAGUUCCAGCCCAGCUCCUCUCGGUGGUCCUUACAGGGCCCUGGCUCGGCCCCCUCUGUGCACUGAGCCUCAGCUUCCUCACCUGGAAACUGGGCACAGGUAAAGAUUCGGGGCGGUGCUUGUGGACGCCGUAGCUUUGCGCUGGGCCCGGGAAGCAUCGCUGACUUCCUGGUGUGGCAGAGGAGGGAGCUGGGAUCCGCCCGACAGCCACAGCCACAGCUGCGUCCCAUGUGGGAAAGGAGCCCUCGGCCCCGCCCCGCCAGCUGCAGCCGGUGGGCGGGGAGGCGCAUCCCGUGGGGUGGAGGAGGGAGAGCAGAUGACAGGAUCCUGACUCAGGGGUCAGCCUGCGAGGCCCGAUCCGCGGCUGCUCGGCGCUGGCGCUCUGGGGGCCGCACCUGGCGGAUGCUGGGCUCGGUUCAGCACACAGGAGCAGCGCCUCAGAACCUUGGGACGCUCUGACGGUACCGGGCCCCGUUCCCAGGGGCCCAGCUGCUCUCGGGGCGCUGGGGACACAGCAGGACACAAGACGGCCGAAGGUCUGUGCCCACGUGGAGUCCACGCUCCUGUGGAGGCAGCGGGCAGUAAAGCAGACAGAUAAGCCGUCUGGCACGUUUGAAAGGAUCCACUGUGCACGGCCACAGAGCGGAAGGAGCUGCUGUUUAAGUGGGCACAGGUCGCGGGGCAGCUCUCUGCUGUGGGCUGGGAAAGCAGUAGAAGAUGGCCUUGGGCCCCUGCACCUGCAUAGGAGACCCAGAAGAAGCUCCUGGCUUCACAUCAGCACAGCUCUGGCCAUUGCAGCCAUUUGGGGAGUGAACCAGCAGAUGGAAGACCUCUCUCUCUCUCUCUCUCUCUCUCUCUCUGUGCCUCUCUGUAACUCUGUAACUCUGUCUUUCAAAUAAAUAAAUAUAAUCUGAAAAAAAAAAAACCAA
This is a long non-coding RNA of Oryctolagus cuniculus (rabbit), 1681 nucleotides long. RefSeq lists it as uncharacterized. The record is from RefSeq and is a predicted model, not a curated record. Lineage: Eukaryota; Metazoa; Chordata; Mammalia; Lagomorpha; Leporidae.